CCUGGGCUUAACCUAGGGCGGUCAGAUAAUACUGUUUAACUCGAGUACAAGAGAGGGUAGUGGAAUUUCCGGUGUAGCGGUGAAAUGCGUAGAGAUCGGAAGGAACACCAGUGGCGAAGGCGGCUACCUGGCUUGAUACUGACACUGAGGCACGAAAGCGUGGGGAGCAAACAGGAUUAGAUACCCUGGUAGUCCACGCCGUAAACGAUGUCAACUAGCUGUUGGAG
RNAcentral lists this ribosomal RNA (227 nucleotides) under uncultured Legionella sp. RNAcentral describes it as "partial 16S ribosomal RNA". It matches the Rfam family "Bacterial small subunit ribosomal RNA", at positions 602 to 828 of the family's 1533-position model. Lineage: Bacteria; Pseudomonadati; Pseudomonadota; Gammaproteobacteria; Legionellales; Legionellaceae. The record is from RNAcentral.